GUAGGGAAUAUUGGACAAUGGGGGGAACCCUGAUCCAGCCAUGCCGCGUGGAGGAAGACUGCCCUCUGGGUUGUAAACUCCUUUUAUAUGGGAAGAACCGUCCUCAUUAAUGAGUGACCUGACGGUACCAUAGGAAUAAGCACCGGCUAACUCCGUGCCAGCAGCCGCGGUAAUACGGAGGGUGCAAGCGUUAUCCGGAUUCACUGGGUUUAAAGGGUGCGUAGGCGGAUAAAUAAGUCAGUGGUGAAAUCAACGGGCUCAACCUGUUAACGGCCAUUGAUACUGUGUAUCUUGAAUAUGAGAGAGGUAGGCGGAAUGUUGCAUGUAGCGGUGAAAUGCUUAGAUAUGCUACGGAACACCGAUUGCGAAGGCAGCUUACUAUUUCGUAAUUGACGCUGAGGCACGAAAGCGUGGGUAGCGAACAGGAUUAGAUACCCGAGUAGUCC
RNAcentral lists this ribosomal RNA (446 nucleotides) under uncultured bacterium. Its description in RNAcentral is "partial 16S ribosomal RNA". It matches the Rfam family "Bacterial small subunit ribosomal RNA", at positions 354 to 796 of the family's 1533-position model. The record is from RNAcentral.